AGGGACUUAGGAUCUAACAUCAAACCGAUGGCCUUCAAAGCCCUAAAUAAGAGCAACACUCUUAGUCCCUG
This 71-nucleotide transfer RNA is filed under the name Hypsilurus nigrigularis. RNAcentral's name for it is "tRNA-Trp". Lineage: Eukaryota; Metazoa; Chordata; Lepidosauria; Squamata; Agamidae. The record is from RNAcentral.